This is a long non-coding RNA of Toxorhynchites rutilus septentrionalis, 647 nucleotides long. RefSeq lists it as uncharacterized. NCBI's taxonomy places the organism in Eukaryota, Metazoa, Arthropoda, Insecta, Diptera, Culicidae. The transcript is spliced from 2 exons. The record is from RefSeq and is a predicted model, not a curated record.
UAUAAUUGUAUGCGAUUAUUUAUACUGAGCGAAAAGGCAUCACUGCAACGAUAGCUUUUCUCCUUCUCGUUGAACUGUCAAAACAUGAAACAUGAAAGUGUUAAAGAAACAGUCGCCAAUAUCAGCUGGUUUUAGGGAUUCUAUUCUCAAUUGGAAUACUGCUCGGUAAAACAACACAGAGAAAACUUCCAAUCGAAGUAUGGACAGAAACCCUUCAACUCUCGAUGGCACAGCAAUAUUCCGUUGCAAUCGAUACGGACGAUCGAAGAAAACUUUAAGUGCAGUUUUCAUCAAAUUCUUCAAACGGCAGACAUCAUCGGGUAGAAGUGAUGUGAGGACGGAGAAGGUGGUUUCGAAGAAGACAAAAACUCGAUCUGUGUCAAUAAGGAAACAUUAUGCAGUAGCUGCAACCAGCCAUCCACUGAAAUCCCAAUAGUCGAUGAUGAAUUCUCCUGCUCUCGCUGUAGAGCACAAGAUGCGACGAAAACAAUUGAGCUGAGAGUAGAUAAAGUUCCGAAGAAAAUUGGCACCUGUCGGGGAUUUGCUGCUGACAACAUGAACGCUGCAAAUGUUUGCUUUCAAUUUUAGUGGCAUUGUAUUAAGUUUGAAAGCAUUGUAUGAAAAAUAAAUGUUUGUAAACAACGCAA